RNAcentral lists this ribosomal RNA (497 nucleotides) under uncultured bacterium. RNAcentral's name for it is "partial 16S ribosomal RNA". It matches the Rfam family "Bacterial small subunit ribosomal RNA", at positions 28 to 507 of the family's 1533-position model. The record is from RNAcentral.
GAUGAACGCUGGCGGCGUGCCUAAUACAUGCAAGUCGAGCGAACGGACGAGAAGCUUGCUUCUCUGAUGUUAGCGGCGGACGGGUGAGUAACACGUGGAUAACCUACCUAUAAGACUGGGAUAACUUCGGGAAACCGGAGCUAAUACCGGAUAAUAUUUUGAACCGCAUGGUUCAAAAGUGAAAGACGGUCUUGCUGUCACUUAUAGAUGGAUCCGCGCUGCAUUAGCUAGUUGGUAAGGUAACGGCUUACCAAGGCAACGAUGCAUAGCCGACCUGUGAGGGUGAUCAGCCACACUGGAACUGCGACACGGGCCAGAAUCCUAAGGGAGGCAGCAGUAGGGAAUCUUCCGCAAUGGGCGAAAGCCUGACGGAGCAACGCCGCGUGAGUGAUGAAGGGCUUCGGAUCGUAAAACUCUGUUAUUAGGGAAGAACAUAUGUGUAAGUAACUGUGCACGUCUUGACGGUACCUAAUCAGAAAGCCACGGCUAACUACGUG